Molecule: unclassified non-coding RNA, 210 nt
Filed under: Hevea brasiliensis (rubber tree)
Lineage: Eukaryota; Viridiplantae; Streptophyta; Magnoliopsida; Malpighiales; Euphorbiaceae
Source: RNAcentral
GGGAAGCCGACUGAAGCUAUACGAGGGGGAAGUGUCAAGCAGGUGAAUUUCUAUGACGAUGAUGUACGCUUUUGGCAACUUUGGCGGAACCGUUCCGCAGCUGCUGAAGCUCCAUCAGCUGUCAACCAAGUUACAUCAGCAUUGAGUACCCCUGCCCCUUCAACAAAAGGGAGACACUUUCUAGUUAUCUGUUGUGAAAAUAAAGCCAUA